AUGAAAUUUACUGUGGUGGACACUAGUUUUGGUCAAGGGGAAGAACCAUGUAAGGUAAGGUCACUAAGAAAUCUACCUACAGAUGCCGGUCAUGGCUACAGUUCUUCACCACAUUCUGGCGAUUCUGUCAGUGUGAACUCAGAAGAACAUUCAGAUUCAGAAGACAGUUCUGAACCUUAUGAAGAUCUGGAUACCAAUCAGAGGGAAACUGAUGCAAGCUGUGUUGACAAGGAGAGAAAAAACAAUCCCCCAACUGGUGAUAAGAUGGCUGCUGAUGUACUUCAUAAGAUUUCUUCCUUUCCAGGCAGAGUCAAUGGUCACGUUUCAGUUGAUCAAUGUGUUGGCACAAAGAAUAAUGUCUGCUCUUCGGCUGGAACAGUUCUUCCUGUUGGUAAUCAGAGGAUACAUGCUACUAAUUCUUCAACUGAAAUUAAUUUUCAGUUUGAUCCAAGAGUAAAUCCUGAACCUCAAGUUUUCUUAGCACCUAUGCCAAAGAGAAGAAGGUUAGUUUCUUUCAAGAAUGAAAGAACUGGUCGCAAAGGAACUGCUGUCAGUAAAAGGCAUUACGGGAAGCAAGCUGACACCCCAGUGCAACCUGUGCCUAAAGCAAAUGAAGCAAGUGCAGGGGCCAACCCUUUUGUAUGGAGCACAAUUUCAAGCUCAUCAACCAACAUAACCUUUGGCACUAAUAGCAAUCACACAUAUUGCGGACAGCUUCACAAUGUGCCCCCUAAUGUUGAAGUGGUUUACAAGGAAAAAGCUCAACGUAAGCAUGUUAUUGAUCUGAAUAUCCCUCAAAUGCCUUCUGAUUAUGAGUCGACUACAAGUUAUAUCCAAACUCCAUCUGACAAUAAUGCACUAAUCAUGGACAUACCUAUGCAUCCCUCAGAAACCAAGGAGGCGGAUGACUGCCUGCCAGAUAUCAAUACCUCUAGUAAUGCAAUCUUGAGCGAGCAGCUUUCUUUCAACUCGAGGAGGCAGAGUACCAGAAGCCGCCCACCAACAUCCCGAGCUCUGGAAGCUCUUGCAUGUGGCUUUAUGGGGAAGCAGAAAGGUGGGGAGGGAAAUUUCCCAUCUUCUAGCAGGAGCAGCAGACCUGUCCGACGACCACGAAGAUCAACUGAUGUUACAGUUCCAUUUCCUUCUGAUGGUGUCGGGAGUGCUUCUCAUUUUAGUGACCAAGCCAUCACUGUCAAUGAGUGGUGCAUGAGUAAUAAUCAGUUUCAAAUACUUCACAGCGCCCCCUCAAAUAACUCCAGUGAAAAAGGGACUCUUGAAUUGUUUGGGGCAGACAACUCUACUGAUAAAGGAACUCGUGAAAUUGUCUGGCAUUCUGUAGAUGGCAUGAAAACGAGUAAGGAGCUACAUGCGCAGCAAUUGCGUUGA
RNAcentral lists this ribosomal RNA (1386 nucleotides) under Triticum aestivum (bread wheat). RNAcentral describes it as "partial small subunit ribosomal RNA". Lineage: Eukaryota; Viridiplantae; Streptophyta; Magnoliopsida; Poales; Poaceae. The record is from RNAcentral.